AAGUCGUAACAAGGUUUCCGUAGGUGAACCUGCGGAAGGAUCAUUAAUGAUUUUAGCUAACCAUGGCUAUUUUAGCCAUGGUUAUGCGAAAUUUUGUAUUUAAAACCCCACUCUUAUAAUAAAAAUUUUAUUAUAUUUAUGAUAAAAAUAAGAUCACUUUCAACAACGGAUCUCUUGGCUCUC
This 183-nucleotide unclassified non-coding RNA is filed under the name Oehlia diaphana. RNAcentral's name for it is "partial internal transcribed spacer region". The stretch from base 1 to 46 matches the Rfam family "Eukaryotic small subunit ribosomal RNA", at positions 1786 to 1831 of the family's 1831-position model. Lineage: Eukaryota; Fungi; Glomeromycota; Glomeromycetes; Glomerales; Glomeraceae. The record is from RNAcentral. RNAcentral also lists the same sequence under 2 other names.